UUUUAAAGCUGGCCCAAGAGCGCACUGGACUGUAAAUUUUGAUUUCCAUAAGUUUUGGAACAAAGAUAACAGAUAAAUGACGUGCCAAUAUUUUUAAAAAGUGAAGAGGAGGACCCAGGUAAUUGCAGGCCCUUCAUCCUGAUGUUGAUCCUCAGCAAGAUGAUGGAACAGCUGAUAUGGGACUUGAUUAAUAAAGAAAUAAAAGGAGGAUUGUGAAACUAACACCAACCAAAGUUCAAAGAAAGGCACCUGAAGAUGGCAAUUGAAAAGACCUCCCCAGGAGUUAAAAUAAACAGCACAACUAUUGUACUGAGGCAGAUUAUAUACUUGAACUGCUUAUGACUUUUUUCAAAAGUCAGCUCCAUUGUAUGUUGUUGUGGAAACUGUUCAGCUUCCGAUGGGGCAGAGUGGUAAGGUGAGGAGGAAAACAAAUACGCCAUCCUCAUGUAAAGAAAAUGGACUGCACUGAAUACUUUGAAACCUGAAGAAUGGUCUCGUUCUCUCAACCUGUUGGCUUCCCAAUGGUUUCCAGAAACUUUUACAAAAAUAAAUAGCUCAGGUGCAAAUAUAUUCACAUGCUGUCAGGCAUCUUUUAUCAAUCCGGUUUCCUUCUGACAUUAUCAAUGAUGUAUAACCAGCUCUGCUGAUAAGGUGGUAAGCAUACAUCAAGGUGAAGACCUAACCGUAUUGAAGUCCAUGGCAAACUCUCACUGAGUUCAAGAGGGCCAGGAUUCUAUCCCAGUAUGCAUUAUAACACUACAACUGCAAAAUAAAGCUCUUGUGAUUGAAAUGUAUAAGAAAUAGAAAUUUGAGGAUGUAUGUGAAGGAACGCUAUACUUACCAACCUUAUUACUGAAUUAUGAUCUCAAUUUCAGGCUUCUUAAACACUAAUCAUUCUCCUCCCACCAAAAUAAUGGUCACAAAAAUGCAAUGUAGAAUUAUUGUAUGAAAAUUGCCUUCUGAAUGUACAUAAGCAUGUCAUAAUUCAUAACUGUCAUCUACUCUGCAGCUGGUCAAAACGUACUUUUUUCAGUUACAAAAUUAACGUGCCCGCAGUUAGUAAGGCAAAACAAGAAAAUGUCCUCCAGACAAAGAUUUCUUUUAGAUCACAGGGUCCUGAUUCAAAGCCCAGUGAAGCCAGUGGAAAGAUUUCCAUUUGACUCCAGUAGGCUUUGGAUCAGGCCCCAAAUGCAAAGACUCGCUCAAAUUAAAGUUUAAAAUUAUAGAUAUGAGCAAUAAAAAAAAAGUCCAAUAAAAAUGUCUGUUACACGAUCCCGUCUGUCAGAAGGCUCCUACCCAGUUUAGAAGUGGCAUUUCUGAUUCAUCUCUGGAUCUUGGAUCAUCUGACAACUGAAAAACAAGAAAAGUUUAAAGUGAGUUCUUCUGAUUCCCCUUCGGGCUUUUCUGUUACUGGCUGCAGUAGGGCUGAUGUGAGCUGGAAUUGUGACAUGCCCUUUGUAGUUGGAGUGACCUCUGGGCUAUGGCAUGGAGGUCUAGAUCACCUUUUCUUUGGCAGUGCAAUCUCGCAAUGUCCCUUAUUGCAUUUCCUUUUUUUUCUUCACCUAUAUCUAAGGAUGUGAUUUGGUCACAGAGGUCAUGGAUUCCAUGACUUCAACAGGUGGGCGACUUCUUCAGCUUCAACUUCAGCACCACCCAGGCUUCGGCUUCAGCUCCAGGUGAUGGGGCAGAAGCCAAAGCCUGAGCUCUGCUGCCCAUGGCUGACACCUGAGCCCCGUGCCUGUAACUUUGCUUCAUGGGGCCAUCUGUGGCAUGGGACCCUGGACAAUUGCCCUGCUUACUACCUCCUAACUCUGGCCCCAUGUACAUUUCCGUGAUUUAGCAACUUAUUGUCCUCGUGCCAAAAUUUCAUUCUUCCAUAUAUCCAAUCUCUCUUGCUUUUCACCUGCUCUGUACUGAUUGAAUGACUUCUCAGAAUGUGUGUGAUCUUUACUUAAGUCAGUAGUGCCACUGGGCAACAUUCUGUCCUGAAUGCCGAGGGUGCACUACAGCAAGGUGUAGAGGGGCCACAUUGCGAGGAAGAUCUGGUUGACUCAAUCAAAAUGCCUCAAAUUUCUAUUAGAACAGUAGCUCUCUGUCACCCUGAGAGAUGGUCCAUUAUGUUUCCUGCUCAGUGCCGAGACAUCUUUGCUGGCUAGCAAAGGAUUAGGUCAGGACCCCUAGUGUAUAUAUAUAUAUGCCCAGAGAGCUAGUGUCUGAUUUUCAAUGGUACUGACCACCUGAAUUGUCAAUUGAAGUCAAUGGGAAGAGUAAAUCCUCAGUAAUUCUGAAAAUCAAGGCUUCAGUGCUGCAGAUAGAAUCAUAACAGGAUUCUAACCAUCACAUGUGGAGAGGGACUAAAGGUAGGAGCCAGGCGAGGUGGGAAGCUUCUUGUGCCUUGGCCCUACUUGAACAUGCAUGCAGAUGCUGGCCAGAAUCUAGCCCAUUGACUUCAAUGAGACUAUUCACCCAAGUGAGGACUACUUGUAUGAGUCAGAGUUUGUGGGGUUGGCGCAUUCAGUUUCUUGUUUUCUUUAUUCAUAGCUUUACAUUGUUUUUUUCCCCUAAUAGAAGUGGAUUUCUUAGUGGAUGUUACUGGAUCUCAAGAGCAAU
Gopherus evgoodei (Goodes thornscrub tortoise) is the source of this 2610-nucleotide long non-coding RNA. RefSeq lists it as uncharacterized. NCBI's taxonomy places the organism in Eukaryota, Metazoa, Chordata, Testudines, Testudinidae. The transcript has 4 exons. The record is from RefSeq and is a predicted model, not a curated record.